GAUGAACGCUGGCGGCGCGCCUAACACAUGCAAGUCGAACGGUUAAAGCACCUUUUAGGUGUGUAUAAAGUGGCGAACGGCUGAGUAACACGUGGGCAACCUGCCCUCCUCUUGGGGAUAGCCUCGGGAAACCGAGGAUAAUACCCGAUACUUCAAUGUGGCCGCAUGACGACAUUGAGAAAGCUUUUGCGGAGAAGGAUGGGCCCGCGGCCUGUUAGCUUGUUGGUGGGGUAGAGGCCUACCAAGGCAAUGAUGGGUAGCUGGGUUGAGAGACCGACCAGCCAGAUUGGGACUGAGACACGGCCCAGACUCCUACGGGAGGCAGCGGUGGGGAAUCUUGCACAAUGGGCGAAAGCCUGAUGCAGCGACGCCGCGUGCGGGACGAAGGCCUUCGGGUUGUAAACCGCUUUCAGCAGGGACGAGGCGAUAAGUGACGGUACCUGCAGAAGAAGCCCCGGCUAACUACGUG
This 469-nucleotide ribosomal RNA is filed under the name uncultured bacterium. Its description in RNAcentral is "partial 16S ribosomal RNA". It matches the Rfam family "Bacterial small subunit ribosomal RNA", at positions 28 to 507 of the family's 1533-position model. The record is from RNAcentral.